UACGAAGGGGGCUAGGCGUUGCUCGGAAUCACUGGGCGUAAAGGGUGCGUAGGCGGGUCUUUAAGUCAGGGGUGAAAUCCUGGGAGCUCAACUCCAGAACUGCCCUUUGAUACUGAGGAUCUUGAGUUCGGGAGAGGUGAGUGGAACUGCGAGUGUAGAGGUGAAAAUUCGUAGAUAUUCGCAAGAACACCAGUGGCGAAGGCGGCAUC
This 209-nucleotide ribosomal RNA is filed under the name uncultured bacterium. RNAcentral's name for it is "partial 16S ribosomal RNA". It matches the Rfam family "Bacterial small subunit ribosomal RNA", at positions 524 to 727 of the family's 1533-position model. The record is from RNAcentral.